This 51-nucleotide microRNA precursor is filed under the name Ciona intestinalis (vase tunicate). RNAcentral's name for it is "microRNA cin-mir-4192 precursor". Lineage: Eukaryota; Metazoa; Chordata; Ascidiacea; Phlebobranchia; Cionidae. The record is from miRBase by way of RNAcentral.
UAUAAAAAUCUUUUUUUUAAUAUUUAUUGCAUGUCAUGGAAAAUUGGUUAA